UAUAACUUUGAAGUCUCAUGAAAGCUUUUCCAUUGUUGAAAUAAUGACGUAUUUGUAUUCAGCAAUUGAGUAUCGAGUUCAUGAAUAUUAUUAGCCAUGCAAAUUUUACUCUUGUUGUGUUAUAAAGCAUUCGAGUAAUGAGUAUUAUUGAGUAUUUGAGUAUUGAGCAUUUUUUCCCUCCUUUUUCUCAUUUGAGUAUCAAAUUGUUAGGAUAUUCUUUAUUGUUAGGAUGGACAGCAAGUCUAUUUUCUUAUCCACGGACACACUAAGCUCAAAAAGCUGUUGAAAGUUUACUGCGACUACCAAUAUUUGGAUUUCACCUCAACCCGUUUUCUUGUUCGAUGGGGCUCGUUUUCAUGGCGAGCAGACUCCAGAUGAGCUUGGUAUGAAAGAUGGAGAUGAGAUCAAUGCCAUGUUCCAUCCAACUGAAAUUCAAAGAGCAAAGAUCAAUCUCAAGGUCACUGAUCAGUAUCAAUUGUCAGGUGUUUUUUCAUUGUUAGUAUGGACAGAAUGUCUUCUUUCAUAUCCACAAACGCACUCAGCUGAAAAAACUGUUGAAAGCUUACUGCAACCGCAAGUAUUUGGAUUUCGACUCAACCGUUUUCUUGUUCAAUGGGGCUCGUUUCUGUGGCGAGCAGACUUCAGACGAGCUUGGUAUGAAAGAUGGAGAUGUGAUCUAUGCCAUGUUCCAUCAGACCAAAAACCAAGGAGCUGAGAUCAAUCCCAAGGUUGAAGAAGAGUUAAAGGAAGCUGUUGACUUGGUUGAUGAGCUAAACGCUGAAGCAGAGACUCUAGUCCAUUUGGAGUGUUUGCAGUUGUCUGAGUAAAUAAGAGAGAUUGUAGUUUGAGUCUUUUCAGCUUGUUUUUAUCAAUAAUUGUGAAAUCUUAGUUAAUUGUGUACAAGGUAAAGAGCUUAAAUAUAAAUUUUGUAGACCACCCGUAAUAACUGAACUGACAUGAUGAGUUUGUAGAGGGUGAUUGAGAUUUUGGAAGUCUCAUGAAAGCUUUGCAUUGUUAGGCAUUGGGUAUUUAGUA
This is an RNA transcript of Arabidopsis lyrata subsp. lyrata, 1035 nucleotides long. It is a transcript of the gene named small ubiquitin-related modifier 1, with no coding region annotated. The record is from RefSeq and is a predicted model, not a curated record. NCBI's taxonomy places the organism in Eukaryota, Viridiplantae, Streptophyta, Magnoliopsida, Brassicales, Brassicaceae. The transcript has 5 exons.